This 251-nucleotide ribosomal RNA is filed under the name uncultured bacterium. RNAcentral's name for it is "partial 16S ribosomal RNA". It matches the Rfam family "Bacterial small subunit ribosomal RNA", at positions 524 to 776 of the family's 1533-position model. The record is from RNAcentral.
UACAGAGGGGCAAGCGUUGUUCGGAAUUACUGGGCGUAAAGGGCGCGUAGGCGGCCUGUUAAGUCGAACGUGAAAUCCCCGGGCUCAACCCGGGAACUGCGUCCGAUACUGGCAGGCUUGAAUCCGGGAGAGGGAUGCGGAAUUCCAGGUGUAGCGGUGAAAUGCGCAGAUAUCAGGAGGAACACCGGUGGCGAAGGCGGAUCUCUGGGCCGAUACUGACGCUGAGGAGCGAAGCGUGGGGAGCGAACAGG